GCUGGGAAUAUUGCUCAGUUGGUAGAGUGCUUGUCUUGCAUACACAAGGCCCUGGGUUCAAUCCCGAGCACAACA
Molecule: transfer RNA, 75 nt
Filed under: Marmota monax (woodchuck)
Lineage: Eukaryota; Metazoa; Chordata; Mammalia; Rodentia; Sciuridae
Description: tRNA.Ala
Source: RNAcentral